Molecule: ribosomal RNA, 837 nt
Filed under: Protocrea farinosa
Lineage: Eukaryota; Fungi; Ascomycota; Sordariomycetes; Hypocreales; Hypocreaceae
Description: eukaryotic LSU rRNA
Rfam family: Eukaryotic large subunit ribosomal RNA
Source: RNAcentral
AGGAUGCCUAGUUACGGCGAGUGAAGCGGCAACAGCUCAAAUUUGAAAUCUGGCCCCUAGGGCCCGAGUUGUAAUUUGCAGAGGAUGCUUUUGGUGAGGCGCCGGCCGAGUUCCCUGGAACGGGACGCCACAGAGGGUGAGAGCCCCGUCUGCCUGGACGCCGAACCUAUGUAAAGCUCCUUCUACGAGUCGAGUAGUUUGGGAAUGCUGCUCUAAAUGGGAGGUAUAUGUCUUCUAAAGCUAAAUAUYGGCCAGAGACCGAUAGCGCAGAAGUAUAGUGAUCGAAAGAUGAAAAGCACUUUGAAAAGAGGGUUAAAUAGUACGUGAAAUUGUUGAAAGGGAAGCGCUCAUGACCAGACUUGGGCUUGGCGGAUCAUCCGGCGUUCUCGCCGGUGCACUCUGCCUCGUCCAGGCCAGCAUCAGUUCGCCGCGGGGGAUAAAGGCGUCGGGAAUGUGGCUCCCACGGGAGUGUUAUAGCCCUUCGCAUAAUACCCUGAGGUGGACUGAGGUUCGCGCUCCGCAAGGAUGCUGGCGUAAUGGUCAUCAGCGACCCGUCUUGAAACACGGACCAAGGAGUCGUCUUCGUAUGCGAGUGUUCGGGUGUCAAACCCCUACGCGUAAUGAAAGUGAACGCAGGUGAGAGCUUCGGCGCAUCAUCGACCGAUCCUGAUGUUCUCGGAUGGAUUUGAGUAAGAGCAUACGGGGCCGGACCCGAAAGAAGGUGAACCUAUGCCUGUAUAGGGUGAAGCCAGAGGAAACUCUGGUGGAGGCUCGCAGCGGUUCUGACGUGCAAAUCGAUCGUCAAAUAUGGGCAUGGGGGCGAAAGACUAUCAGCUC